Long non-coding RNA from Prinia subflava (tawny-flanked prinia), 1623 nucleotides. RefSeq lists it as uncharacterized. The record is from RefSeq and is a predicted model, not a curated record. Lineage: Eukaryota; Metazoa; Chordata; Aves; Passeriformes; Cisticolidae. The transcript is spliced from 5 exons.
CGCCGGUUCCGCGCCGGGCUGGAGCUCCCUGUGACAGCCCCCGGCUGGGCCAGAGGCGGACAGACCGCCUCGUGGGUAGGGCUUGUCUGCCCCGGGGGUCUGUGGUGUUCUUCAGCUGGUGUGGAUGAGGGAUAAUGAUGCUCUCAGAGUCCUGGUGCUUUGAGCAGAAGGUGCAGGAGAAAGAUGGCGUGGAAAGAGACAGAAAUCACAAUUUCCUUUGGAGCAACUUCUGCAUGAUGAAAAAAGAUAUAAUGGUGCAAGAGCACAGUCAGAGCUUUCCCAAGGACUCCUUUGGUGCUGUGUGGAAAGUCUUCCAGGUUUUUGGCAGAAGUACGUUUCUCUUCAUCAAAGAUACUUUGCUCAGUGUUUGUGACUGCCAGUGAAGUCUGUUCUUUAGUUGUGUACUGGAGAGGGAAGUUCUGGUAGCCUGGCUCAGCUAGCAGGCUUUCAGUUUGAGGACCAGUGCAGGCAGUGUGAUUCCUGUGUUUGAACAUGAGGUAUGCAGGAUGUGGAUCCAAAAACGUUGAGAACAGCAAGUGAAUCAUAAGAUCCUUUUGUCUGUUGAGGUUUCUGCACAAGGGAGUCGGUUUCUUAGAAAAUAGAUAGCUAUGCAGAAGGGCAAGGAAAAAUGGAGUACUUCAACCUGCUGAUGGCCUAUGUGAGAAACACAUCAAAAGCUACCACUGUGGUCCUUAUAAAUAAUAAAUAAAAGGUUGAAUAAAAGGCUUUUCAGUGCAGUUGUGAUACUGGUGUUCAUCCUAGUGGUGCUUCCUGUUGCUCAUACCUUGUCUUUGAGGAGUACCAAGGCUGGGUUUCUUUGAACUUACCUGUGCUUUCAUUCAGUUUGGGAGGCAGGAGGUGCUUUCUUUCUCUUGGCAGUUCCUAGCAACCUUAUCCCAACUUCUUCAGACUUCUGGGUCUGGAAUAGAGUCCUGAUUAAGUGACUGUUCUUACAAGCUUGUCAGCUCAGUUUCUCUGAAGCUGUCGCAGCACAACUCAGGCUUAUUUUGGAAAGCACAGCUUCCUUGAAGGGCUGGGUGGAUGACAGCACAAGAGCAAGGCGGCAGUGUGGUCGAUGUCCAGCUUCCUCUUCACAGGUGUUCUCUCUUGCUCUAAAUCUCUUCUUGCUACUUGGGUUGCUUUUUAGCCAAGUGAGCAAAAUAAAAAGAUUUUCUUUCUCUUAAAUAUUUUUGUCACCUCCUGCCUUUUUCAUAUAAAUACACUGAUCGUUUUUUCAGAACCUCAGCUAAGGAAUUUCUUUGGGUCAUAUGUAUGUGAUCUGGGGGAUGCAGUUAUGUCCAAGUUUUUCAGUUAAGCAAAACCGUAGGAGGUGAGGUGAAAGAGUGGAAUUCUCUCCAGUUUCCUGUUUCUAUUACUGCAAAGUCCUUACGGCUUGUUCCUUUUGAGGGUGUUCACCAGCUUUACAACCUAAAUCCACAAUGAGGCUUUUGUAAAGCCUGCCAAACGAAUUGAUCUGAACUGGCUUAUCUUUUGUCACCUGUGCUUUUCACAUGUGUUAAGCAACUGAACUUCCUCAUAUGGAACUUGAAUGUUGUAACAAUUUUAAUUUAGUCACAAAUACACACAAAUCAGUAUACCCAAGGAAGGCUUCCUUCUUCAGGA